Molecule: ribosomal RNA, 465 nt
Filed under: uncultured bacterium
Lineage: Bacteria
Description: partial 16S ribosomal RNA
Rfam family: Bacterial small subunit ribosomal RNA
Source: RNAcentral
GACGAACGCUGGCGGCGUGCUUAACACAUGCAAGUCGAACGGAAAGGCCCCUUUGGGGGUCCUCGAGUGGCGAACGGGUGAGUAACACGUGAGUAACCUGCCCUUGACUUCGGGAUAACUUCAGGAAACUGGGGCUAAUACCGGAUAGGAAUCCUUGCUGCAUGGUGGGGGUUGGAAAGCUUCGGCGGUUUUGGAUGGACUCGCGGCUUAUCAGCUUGUUGGUGGGGUAGUGGCUUACCAAGGCUUUGACGGGUAGCCGGCCUGAGAGGGCGACCGGCCACAUUGGGACUGAGAUACGGCCCAGACUCCUACGGGAGGCAGCAGUGGGGAAGAUUGCACAAUGGGCGGAAGCCUGAUGCAGCAACGCCGCGUGCGGGAUGACGGCCUUCGGGUUGUAAACCGCUUUCAGCAGGGGCGAAGCUUGUGGUGACGGUACCUGCAGAAGAAGCACCGGCUAACUACGUG